Molecule: unclassified non-coding RNA, 376 nt
Filed under: soil metagenome
Description: partial contains 5.8S ribosomal RNA, internal transcribed spacer 2, and large subunit ribosomal RNA
Rfam family: 5.8S ribosomal RNA (bases 1-120)
Source: RNAcentral
GAUGAAGAACGUAGCGAAAUGCGAUAAGUAAUGUGAAUUGCAGAAUUCAGUGAAUCAUCGAAUCUUUGAACGCAUCUUGCGCUCCUUGGUAUUCUGAGGAGCAUGCCUGUUUGAGUGUCAUUAAAUUCUCAACUACACUGACUUUGAAUUGGUGUGGCUUGGAUUUGGGGGGAAAAUUGUUGUGGGCUUUUUGUAUAGUCUGCUCCCCUGAAAUUGAUUAGCGGUACCUUUGUGGAACUGUCUACAGGUGUGAUAAUUAUCUACAUCUUAGACAUCUGCUGGAAUGCUGCUUUCUAAACCUUACUUGUAUUGACAAUCUUGACCCCAAAUCAGGUAGGACUACCCGCUGAACUUAAGCAUAUCAAUAAGCGGAGGA